GGUAAUCGCCGGGAUAGCUCAGGUGGUAGAGC
RNAcentral lists this transfer RNA (32 nucleotides) under Mancoa foliosa. Its description in RNAcentral is "partial tRNA-Phe". Lineage: Eukaryota; Viridiplantae; Streptophyta; Magnoliopsida; Brassicales; Brassicaceae. The record is from RNAcentral.